Molecule: ribosomal RNA, 2232 nt
Filed under: human gut metagenome
Description: bacterial LSU rRNA
Rfam family: Bacterial large subunit ribosomal RNA
Source: RNAcentral
UGGGGCUAGGGGUGAAAGGCCAAUCAAAUUCCGUGAUAGCUGGUUCUCUCCGAAAUGCAUUUAGGUGCAGCGUCGGAUCGAUUACAUCCGGGGGGUAGAGCGACUGGAUGCUUGCGGGCCCAUAUCGGGUACCAACAGCAACCAAACUCCGAAUACCCGUGAUGCGUAUCCCGGCAGUGAGUCGGCGGGGGAUAAGCUCCGUCGUCGAAAGGGAAACAGCCCAGAUCGUCGUCUAAGGUCCCCAAGCGUGUGCUAAGUGGGAAAGGAUGUGGAGUCGCAUAGACAGCCAGGAGGUUGGCUCAGAAGCAGCCACCCUUGAAAGAGUGCGUAACAGCUCACUGGUCUAGUGGUUCCGCGCCGACAAUGUAGCGGGGCUCAAGCACACCACCGAAGACGCGGCAGUAGCUUUGCUACUGGGUAGGAGAGCGUCCCAUGCGGGGCGAAGCGGCGGCGCAAGCCCGCCGUGGACCGCAUGGGAGUGAGAAUGCAGACAUGAGUAGCGAAAGACGGGUGAAGAUCCCGUCCGCUGGACGACCAAGGGUUCCAGGGCCACGUUCAUCGUCCCUGGGUGAGUCGGGUCCUAAGGCGAGGCCGACAGGCGUAGUCGAAUGGACGAACGGGUCGAUAUUCCCGUACCGGCAUGCAACCGGCAAAACCGAAUCCGCGAGUACUAACCUCCGGGUCCGGGCUCACGUCUCCUUCGGGAGCCGGAUGCCCUGGCCUGUUGGGACCGUAACGGUAGUAGGUCAGCGCGGGAGUGACGCAGAAGGGUAGCCGGCCGCGGAGGUGGUCUUCCGUGGUCAAGCACGCAGCCCGUCCCACAGGCAAAUCCGUGGGGCGCGUGGGCGAGGUGCGAUGAUGGGCGCCGCAGGGCGCGAUAUCCGGUGAUCCCGGCUGCCGAGAAAAGCUUCGGCGUGAGGCGGCAUGCCGCCCGUACCCCAAACCGACACUGGUGGUCAGGUAGAGAAUACCAAAGCGAUCGAGCGAAUCCUGGUCAAGGAACUCGGCAAAUCACUCCCGUUCCUUCGGUUUAAGGGAGACCCCCGAUGGUGAAGCGGCUUGCCCGCGGAGCUUUUGGGGGUGGCACAGACCAGGGGGUAGCGACUGUUUACCAAAAACACAGGAGCGUGCGAAGGCGCAAGCCGCUGUAUACGCUCUGACGCCUGCCCGGUGCCGGAAGGUUAAGAGGAUCCGUCAGGCCUCGGCCGAAGCGGUGAAUUCAAGCCCCGGUAAACGGCGGUGGUAACUAUAACCAUCCUAAGGUAGCGAAAUUCCUUGUCGGGUAAGUUCCGACCUGCACGAAUGGCGUGACUUCCCCACUGUCUCGACCAGGAGCUCGGCGAAAUUGCAGUACGAGUAAAGAUGCUCGUUAAGCGCAGAAGGACGAAAAGACCCCGGGACCUUUACUAUACCUUGGUAUUGGCAUUCGGUGUGGAUUGUGUAGCAUAGGCGGAAGGCUUCGAAGCCACGGCGCCAGCCGCGGUGGAGCCGCAAGGUGAAAUACCGCUCUGUUCGCAUUGGAUGUCUAACCUCGACCAGUCAUCCUGGUCAGGGACAGUGCCUGGCGGGUAGUUUAACUGGGGCGGUUGCCUCCCAAAGAGUAACGGAGGCGCUCAAAGGUUCCCUCAGCCCGGUUGGCAAUCGGGUGGCGAGUGUAAGUGCACAAGGGAGCUUGACUGCGAGACUGACGGGUCGAGCAGGGACGAAAGUCGGAACUAGUGAUCCGGUGCCGGUGUACGGACGCGGCAUCGCUCAACGGAUAAAAGGUACCCCGGGGAUAACAGGCUGAUCAUUCCCAAGAGUCCAUAUCGACGGGAUGGUUUGGCACCUCGAUGUCGGCUCGUCGCAUCCUGGGGCUGGAGCAGGUCCCAAGGGUUCGGCUGUUCGCCGAUUAAAGCGGCACGCGAGCUGGGUUCAGAACGUCGUGAGACAGUUUGGUCUCUAUCCUCUGCGCUCGUCGGAAUGUUGAGGAGGCCUGCCCAUAGUACGAGAGGACCUGGGUGGACGAACCUCUGGUAUGCCGGUUGUCACGCCAGUGGCACGGCCGGUUGGCUACGUUCGGAAGGGAUAACCGCUGAAAGCAUCUAAGCGGGAAGCCUGCUCCAAGAUAAGCAUUCCAUAGGACUACGGGUCCUUGAAGUCCCCAUGCAGAACACGUGGUUGAUAGGCCGGACGUGGAAGCCCCGCGAGGGGUGGAGCCGACCGGUACUAACGGACGAAAGGCAACACAAU